AAGCAAGGAAACUUACAACAAAGAGUCCCUCCCGACUGUUUACCAAAAACACAGCACUCUGCUAACUCGUAAGAGGAUGUAUAGGGUGUGACGCCUGCCCGGUGCUCGAAGGUUAAUUGAUGGGGUUAGCAUUAGCGAAGCUCUUGAUCGAAGCCCGAGUAAACGGCGGCCGUAACUAUAACGGUCCUAAGGUAGCGAAAUUCCUUGUCGGUUAAAUACCGACCUGCAUGAAUGGCGUAACGAGAUGGGAGCUGUCUCAAAGAGGGAUCCAGUGAAAUUGUAGUGGAGGUGAAAAUUCCUCCUACCCGCGGCAAGACGGAAAGACCCCGUGGACCUUUACUACAGCUUGACACUGCUACUUGGAUAAGAAUGUGCAGGAUAGGUGGGAGGCUUUGAGUAUAUGACGCCAGUUGUAUAUGAGCCAUUGUUGAGAUACCACUCUUUCUUAUUUGGGUAG
RNAcentral lists this ribosomal RNA (457 nucleotides) under Campylobacter coli. RNAcentral describes it as "partial 23S ribosomal RNA". It matches the Rfam family "Bacterial large subunit ribosomal RNA", at positions 1765 to 2221 of the family's 2925-position model. Lineage: Bacteria; Pseudomonadati; Campylobacterota; Epsilonproteobacteria; Campylobacterales; Campylobacteraceae. The record is from RNAcentral.